Long non-coding RNA from Quercus robur (English oak), 439 nucleotides. RefSeq lists it as uncharacterized. The record is from RefSeq and is a predicted model, not a curated record. NCBI's taxonomy places the organism in Eukaryota, Viridiplantae, Streptophyta, Magnoliopsida, Fagales, Fagaceae. The transcript is spliced from 3 exons.
CAGGAAGGGGUUACUCAAUAUGUGGUUUGACCUAUAAAACUUCAAUGCUACUAUAUCCUCCUCCUCUCAGGCUGAUGGAAAAUAACCAACCAAUAGUACAAAUGCCAAAGCAAUUCAAACCGCAAGUGACAAUUCAAGAAGAGAUGAACAUCAACAGAAGAUCCAUAAGUGAAAUAACAAAAGUUAUGUGGGACUCUGGUAAUGAGGUAUAGAAUUCAAAAGCAAUAUGCAACUCACACUAACAUCUAUACUCAAGGAAAACAAAAGGACAUAUUCAGUGUCUACUACGAAGCAACAAAGGAAGAAAAUACAAAAAACACUUUAAAGUUGUCUUUCAAUUUAUUUUAAAUAUUGAUUAAGUAGUUCUUUAAAUUUGUGUUUCAUACAUUUUAUGGAUAAUUGAGGAUGUUAAAGAUUUAAUUCUUCAUUUUAUUUUAAA